CUCCCUCAUGUUCUCGCUCCCUCACUCUCGCUCCCUCGCUCGCUCUCGCUUGCUCUCGCUCUCCCUCUCUCUCUCUCACUCGCUCUCCCUCUCUCUCACUCGUGCUCUCGCUCCCUCGCUGUCACUCGCUCUCCGUCACUGUCUCUCGCUCUCCCUCGCUUGCGCUCUCGCUCCCUCGCUCUCUCUCGCUCGUGCACUUGCUCCCUCGCGCGCUCUCUCGCUUGCUCUUGCUCUUUCUUGCUCUCUCCCUUGCCCUCCCUUGCCUUCUCGCGCUCACUCGCCCUCUCGCGCUCACCCUCAUGCUUGUCAUAUUGCACGCACUCACCCUCUCGCGCUCUCCCGCUCACGCUCGCUCUCCCUCUCGAUCUCCCUUUCGUGCUCGUGCUCACUCACCCUCUUGCUCUCCUGCUCGCUCAUGCUCACUUGCUCUCCCGCUCGCUCACUCUCCUGCUCGCCCUCUCACUCACCCGCUGUCUUGCCCUCUUGUGCUCACUCUCACUCACUCUCUCGUUCUCUUGCUCGCUCGUCCUCUUGUGCUCUCUCUCUCGCUUGCUCUCACUCGCUCCCUCUCGCUCACCCUCUCGUGCUUGCUCUCACUUGCUCUCUCACUCCCUCGCCCUCUCGUGCUCACUCUCUCGCCCUCUUGCUCCCUCGCCCUCUCUUGUGCUCUCUCUCACCCGCUCUCACCCUCUUUCACUCGCUCUCUUUCUUGCUCUCGUUUUCCCUCUCAUUCGCUCUCCCUCUCCCUCACUCUCGCUCACCUAAUAAAGAUUGCUGGUUCAGUACUACUUAUAUGCAUCUAUCUUUUGAUGUUUAUUAUAGCUUUCUAUACAUUAAAAGAACAAUGAAGCUGAUAUUUGUCAUAACAUGUUUCCAUAUAUACUGGUAUAGGGAGAAAGGGGUUGUGUCAUAGAAGUCUGCUAUGAUGGCAGAUACUGGUAAGAAUUGAUACUUGUAUAAUUUUUAAAUGUACUGAAACAAACCAAUGACAAUUUGAGUCUAAAUUCCUAAACACACUAAAAU
RNAcentral lists this long non-coding RNA (1023 nucleotides) under Struthio camelus australis. RNAcentral describes it as "lncRNA (ENSSCUG00000018298.1)". Lineage: Eukaryota; Metazoa; Chordata; Aves; Struthioniformes; Struthionidae. The record is from RNAcentral.